This 256-nucleotide ribosomal RNA is filed under the name uncultured bacterium. RNAcentral's name for it is "partial 16S ribosomal RNA". It matches the Rfam family "Bacterial small subunit ribosomal RNA", at positions 524 to 777 of the family's 1533-position model. The record is from RNAcentral.
UACGGAGGGUGCGAGCGUUGUCCGGAAUCACUGGGCGUAAAGGGCGCGUAGGCGGCCUGAUAAGUAGGGGGGUGAAAUCCUGAGGCUUAACCUCAGGGCUGCCUUCUAAACUGUCGGGCUCGAGCACAGUAGAGGCAGGUGGAAUUCCCGGUGUAGCGGUGGAAUGCGUAGAGAUCGGGAAGAACAUCAGUGGCGAAGGCGGCCUGCUGGGCUGUUGCUGACGCUGAGGCGCGACAGCGUGGGGGAGCAAACAGGG